Molecule: ribosomal RNA, 756 nt
Filed under: Triticum aestivum (bread wheat)
Lineage: Eukaryota; Viridiplantae; Streptophyta; Magnoliopsida; Poales; Poaceae
Description: partial small subunit ribosomal RNA
Source: RNAcentral
AUGCCGCCGCUCCAGCUACUCCUCAUCCUUCUCCCGCUCUCCGCUUCCUUUCUCCGGCUGCCGGCGCCGGCCGGCGCUGCCUGCUCGCCCAAGACAUGCGGCGACCUGAACAUCACAUACCCGUUCUGGCUGGAGGAGGGCGGCGGCCGGCCGCCAUGCGGGUCCCCGUCCUUCCAGCUCAACUGCAACGGCAGGCACGCGUUCCUCAGCCGCUCCAUGUUCGGGCGCUACCAGGUCGCCCGGGUCUUCCCCGAGAACAACUCCCUGGUCGCCGUGAACCACAACCUCCUCGUCCCGCCCCGCGCCGGCUGCCCGCCGUGGUGGUUCAACAUCUCGCUGGGCCUCGGGCUGGGGCCCUACACCAUCAACAGGAAGAACAGGGAGGUCCUCGUCCUCUACAACUGCACCGAGCCGCAGCAGGUGGCUCCGCCGGGGUUCAACCGCACGCGCUGCGCCGACGGGUCCUUCUUCCGGCUUGGCGGGGAGUAUGGCAGCCACCGCGAGCUGGGCGUUGUCCCGUCGGCCUGCAGUCUCUCCGUCGUGCCGGUUCUUGGUUUUCCGGACGGCGACGACGACUAUGUCCAGAGCAUGAGGCAGGGGUUCCUGCUCGAGUGGACGGUGCCGUCGGACGACUGCCCCGAGUGCGAGGCAAGCGGCGGGCAGUGCAGGUACGCCGGCGACGGCACCGGGUUUUCCUGCGGUUGCGCCGGCGUCGCCCACCGCGAGAAGUGCGGUGAGUUGACGAAAAUUAACUGA